Molecule: transfer RNA, 68 nt
Filed under: Urocyon cinereoargenteus (gray fox)
Lineage: Eukaryota; Metazoa; Chordata; Mammalia; Carnivora; Canidae
Description: tRNA-Gly
Source: RNAcentral
GCUUCCUUAGUAUAACUAGUACGGUUGACUUCCAAUCAACUAGUCUCAGACAGAUCUGAGAGGAAGUA